AUCCUGCCAGGAGGAGAAUGCCUCCCUGCAUGAAAAACUCACUCAUAUGGAAAAAAAGGCAGAAAGAUGGAAAGUGGUAGCGACAGGGGUGCAAAGCCAGUUAGACCCUCUCUGGGAGGCAAUCAGGGAGGGCAAACAAAGAGAAAAGAAGUUAGAGGAACAGGUCGGGGAAAAGGAAAAAAUAGAAAAAGAGAAUCAAGUAUUGCAAGGCAUGGUAAAGAGGUUAACCAUAGAACAAAGUAAAGCUCUCCCCGCUAAUCACAGCCGAUGCGAGUCCCUUAUCCAGCACCUUAAACAAAGGCUGGGAUUCGCAAACCGCCAGAUAGCAGCGGUGAUGGCAGGAGAGUGGGACUUUAAUCCCCAGAGUGACGUCCCUGACUGGGAAAACGCCCCGAGGGAAUCUAGCGAGGUGUGGGAAAGAGAGCUACGGAGCAGCAAUCCUGAGCCCCAGGGGCCGAUUGCAGCCAUUAACAGAAUUACUGUAACAAGAACAGACACAGCUGCAGGGACUAGCACAGCUACUACAACCGUCCCCGUAUCAGCAGCUGAUCUCCAAGCAAUGGCAAAGAUGCUUGGACCCCUUAACUGGGAAAAAUUUUCAAAAUGGACUCUGCGUGCGCUGCAAUUGGCAGGCAAAGAAGAUUUAACAGUCCCUGAGCUUAAACGCCUCAUGACCGCCUGUGCAGCACCCGAAUUACAGGAAGUCAUUGAUCGGGUGAUAAGAGAAAACAGGGAGAACAAUACCUUCCUACCCCUGUUUGCAAGCCUAGGGGAACAAAUGGGUCGCCGACAUCUAAUGAUACAGGCGGCCAGCAUGAUGCAGGAACCUAAUAAAGACCCCAAAGGGUACCUAUCCCGCUGGGGACUUAUGCAGGUCAUGGCAGGCAUCACCCGCCCUGAAGAUGCCCAAGGAGCCCCUGCAAAUAACCCUGACACUGUAGCAUAUGGCACAGACGCCCUGAGGGACUGUGCUGCGACUCUUCUCCCUUACUAUGCUAAUAAGCUCAGCGUCUGGGCACUUAACCAGCCCGCGAGCAUGACUGAGCUCCGAGAUCUGAUCAAACAGAUCACCACUCAUUCUGGCCCCUCACUCCAAAUAAAAAAAAAAGGGCUCCCUUUGUGGCCGCACUUGAGCAAAUAACUUACUCCAAUAAAAGUGGUAAUAUGGGAAUAGGGGGCUCCCGA
RNAcentral lists this long non-coding RNA (1185 nucleotides) under Chrysemys picta bellii (western painted turtle). Its description in RNAcentral is "lncRNA (ENSCPBG00000018700.1)". The record is from RNAcentral. Lineage: Eukaryota; Metazoa; Chordata; Testudines; Emydidae.